UACGGGGGGGGCAAGCGUUGUUCGGAAUUACUGGGCGUAAAGGGCUCGUAGGCGGCCAACUAAGUCAGACGUGAAAUCCCUCGGCUUAACCGGGGAACUGCGUCUGAUACUGGAUGGCUGGAGUUUGGGAGAGGGAUGCGGAAUUCCAGGUGUAGCGGUGAAAUGCGUAGAUAUCUGGAGGAACACCGGUGGCGAAGGUGGCAUCCUGGACCAACACUGACGCUGAUGAGCGAAAGCCAGGGGAGCAAACGGG
Molecule: ribosomal RNA, 253 nt
Filed under: uncultured bacterium
Lineage: Bacteria
Description: partial 16S ribosomal RNA
Rfam family: Bacterial small subunit ribosomal RNA
Source: RNAcentral